RNAcentral lists this ribosomal RNA (207 nucleotides) under uncultured bacterium. RNAcentral describes it as "partial 16S ribosomal RNA". It matches the Rfam family "Bacterial small subunit ribosomal RNA", at positions 568 to 774 of the family's 1533-position model. The record is from RNAcentral.
CGUGUAGGCGGUCAGGUAGGUCGGUUGUGAAAACUGGAGGCUCAACCUUCAGAGGUCGACCGAAACCCCCUGGCUAGAGUCCGGGAGAGGAGAGUGGAAUUCCUGGUGUAGCGGUGAAAUGCGCAGAUAUCAGGAAGAACACCCGUGGCGAAAGCGGCUCUCUGGAACGGUACUGACGCUGAGACGCGAAAGCGUGGGGAGCGAACA